RNAcentral lists this ribosomal RNA (253 nucleotides) under uncultured bacterium. RNAcentral's name for it is "partial 16S ribosomal RNA". It matches the Rfam family "Bacterial small subunit ribosomal RNA", at positions 524 to 776 of the family's 1533-position model. The record is from RNAcentral.
UACGGGGGGGGCAAGCGUUGUUCGGAAUUACUGGGCGUAAAGGGCUUGUAGGUGGCCAACUAAGUCGGACGUGAAAUCCCUCGGCUUAACCGGGGAACUGCGUCUGAUACUGGGUGGCUUGAGUUCGGGAGAGGGAUGCGGAAUUCCAGGUGUAGCGGUGAAAUGCGUAGAUAUCUGGAGGAACACCGGUGGCGAAGGCGGCAUCCUGGACCGACACUGACACUGAGGAGCGAAAGCCAGGGGAGCAAACGGG